RNAcentral lists this ribosomal RNA (392 nucleotides) under uncultured bacterium. RNAcentral describes it as "bacterial SSU rRNA". It matches the Rfam family "Bacterial small subunit ribosomal RNA", at positions 29 to 402 of the family's 1533-position model. The record is from RNAcentral.
AACGAACGCUGGCGGCGUGCCUAACACAUGCAAGUCGGGGGGAGAAAGGGAGCUUCGGCUCCCGAGUAAACCGGCGCACGGGUGAGUACAACGUAGGUAACGUACCUUCGAGUCCGGGAUAACCAGUCGAAAGACUGGCUAAUACCGGAUACGACCGAGAGGGCCUCGGCUCUCGCGGUGAAAGAUGGCCUCUGCUUGCAAGCUAUCACUCGUUGAGCGGCCUGCGCACCAUUAGCAGUUGGUGGGGUAACGGCCCACCAAGGCUGAGAUGGUUAGCUGGUCUGAGAGGAUGGCCAGCCACACUGGGACUGAGACACGGCCCAGACUCCUACGGGAGGCAGCAGUGGGGAAUAUUGCGCAAUGGGCGAAAGCCUGACGCAGCGACGCCGCGU